RNAcentral lists this unclassified non-coding RNA (240 nucleotides) under soil metagenome. Its description in RNAcentral is "partial contains 5.8S ribosomal RNA, internal transcribed spacer 2, and large subunit ribosomal RNA". The record is from RNAcentral.
AACACUGUUAACCUGCGGUACCUGCGGAAGGAUCAUUACACAAUAAACAUAUGAAGGCUGCACCGCCAACAGGCGGCAAGGCUGGAGUAUUUUAUUACCCUUGUCUUUUGCGCACUUGUUGUUUCCUGGGCGGGUUCGCCCGCCUCCAGGACCACAUGAUAAACCUUUUUUAUGCAGUUGCAAUCAGCGUCAGUACAACAAAUGUAAAUCAUUUACAACUUUUAACAAUGGAUCUCAGAU